UCCCAGGUGGCUCAGUGGUGUGAAGAAUCUGCCUGCCAAUGCAGAAGACAUGGGUUCGAUCCCUAAUCUGGGGA
RNAcentral lists this transfer RNA (74 nucleotides) under Bos taurus (domestic cattle). It matches the Rfam family "tRNA". From Rfam's summary of the family: Transfer RNA (tRNA) molecules are approximately 80 nucleotides in length. Their secondary structure includes four short double-helical elements and three loops (D, anti-codon, and T loops). The record is from Rfam by way of RNAcentral. Lineage: Eukaryota; Metazoa; Chordata; Mammalia; Artiodactyla; Bovidae. RNAcentral also lists the same sequence under 5 other names.